GCAAGUUACCUCAGGUUGGGUAGUGGAGGUUAGAGCCAGCACUGGGCUGGCCCCAGCAGCCUUACCUGGGGAGCAGGGGAAGCUGCAGCUG
This is a long non-coding RNA of Gavialis gangeticus (Gharial), 91 nucleotides long. RefSeq lists it as uncharacterized. The record is from RefSeq and is a predicted model, not a curated record. Lineage: Eukaryota; Metazoa; Chordata; Crocodylia; Gavialidae. The transcript is spliced from 3 exons.